GAUGAACGCUGGCGGCGUGCUUAACACAUGCAAGUCGAACGAAGCAUUUAGAACAGAUUACUUCGGUUUGAAGUUCUUUAUGACUGAGUGGCGGACGGGUGAGUAACGCGUGGGUAACCUGCCUUGUACUGGGGGAUAGCAGCUGGAAACGGCUGGUAAUACCGCAUAAGCGCACAAUGUUGCAUGACAUGGUGUGAAAAACUCCGGUGGUAUAAGAUGGACCCGCGUCUGAUUAGCUAGUUGGUGAGAUAACAGCCCACCAAGGCGACGAUCAGUAGCCGACCUGAGAGGGUGACCGGCCACAUUGGGACUGAGACACGGCCCAGACUCCUACGGGAGGCAGCAGUGGGGAAUAUUGCACAAUGGAGGAAACUCUGAUGCAGCGACGCCGCGUGAGUGAAGAAGUAAUUCGUUGUGUAAAGCUCUAUCAGCAGGGAAGAUAGUGACGGUACCUGACUAAGAAGCUCCGGCUAAAUACGUG
RNAcentral lists this ribosomal RNA (481 nucleotides) under uncultured bacterium. RNAcentral describes it as "partial 16S ribosomal RNA". It matches the Rfam family "Bacterial small subunit ribosomal RNA", at positions 28 to 507 of the family's 1533-position model. The record is from RNAcentral.